Molecule: ribosomal RNA, 92 nt
Filed under: Neobacillus niacini
Lineage: Bacteria; Bacillati; Bacillota; Bacilli; Caryophanales; Bacillaceae
Source: RNAcentral
CACCCGUUCCCAUACCGAACACGGAAGUUAAGCUUCUCAGCGCCGAUGGUAGUUGGGGGCUGUCCCCCUGUGAGAGUAGGACGUUGCCAGGC